CAAAAGGAAUUUGGAAACCUCAUUGUCAAACCCACAAAUAUCUUCCUCUCAGAAGAUAAGUUGUGGUCCGUUCUAUAGAAACUGUGUCAAGGAAAUUCCUUCCUUCCCCCUCCUGAGUGACUUGACCUGUCCAUCAAACGUUCCUGACAUAACACAGUUGCUCCAGGUUUCCAUCCCUCUACAUGCUGUACGUCAAUAAAAGUCAAGGCUUUGGGCUUGUGAGAGGAGAACCAAGAAGAGAAGGAAGAAGGAAGAAGUCGGGAUCAGAGCAGGCAGAAAAUUUUCUGAUGCUGAGAGGCAACUGGGUGGAACAUUGGGUAGAGAUCAGAUCUGGAGUCAAGAAGACCUGCGUUCAAAUCCAGCUUCAGGCACCAGCUGUUAUUUUCUCCUUGACGUGGGAGCUCUGGAAUCGGGCUUUAAUAUUCCUGAGAGUUUUCAUUUUGGGAUCUCUUUCAGGAGGUAAUUUUUUCUAUUUCUACUUUACUCUCUGAUUCUAGGAUAUCAGUAUAGUUUUCGUUAACAAAUUCUUGAAAGG
This 535-nucleotide long non-coding RNA is filed under the name Monodelphis domestica (gray short-tailed opossum). RNAcentral describes it as "lncRNA (ENSMODG00000047116.1)". Lineage: Eukaryota; Metazoa; Chordata; Mammalia; Didelphimorphia; Didelphidae. The record is from RNAcentral.